RNAcentral lists this microRNA precursor (105 nucleotides) under Marmota monax (woodchuck). Lineage: Eukaryota; Metazoa; Chordata; Mammalia; Rodentia; Sciuridae. The record is from RNAcentral.
AUAGGAAUCACCUAGGGAUCUUGCUAAAAUGCAAGUUUUUGAUUUGGUCCAUGUGAGAAGGGCAUGAGAUGCUACAUUUUUCACAAGCUCCCAAGUGAUGCCAAA